RNAcentral lists this ribosomal RNA (327 nucleotides) under uncultured eukaryote. RNAcentral describes it as "partial 18S ribosomal RNA". It matches the Rfam family "Eukaryotic small subunit ribosomal RNA", at positions 1470 to 1796 of the family's 1831-position model. The record is from RNAcentral.
CCCUUAGAUGUUCUGGGCUGCACACGCGCUACACUGAAGGAGGCAGCGUGUACUCCUGGAUCGAAAGAUUUGGGUAACCCGCGAAUCUCCUUCGUGCUAGGGAUUGAGGUUUGCAAUUAUCCUUCAUGAACGAGGAAUUCCCAGUAAGUGCAAGUCAUAAGCUUGCGCUGACUACGUCCCUGCCCUUUGUACACACCGCCCGUCGCUACUACCGAUUGAAUGAUUUAGUGAGGACUUCGGACUGGGACCGAUGCGGCUUUCGGGCUGCGUCGGUAUUCUGGAAAGAUGUCCAAACUGUNUNAUUUAUNGGAAGUAAAANUCGUANCA